This 444-nucleotide ribosomal RNA is filed under the name uncultured bacterium. RNAcentral's name for it is "bacterial SSU rRNA". It matches the Rfam family "Bacterial small subunit ribosomal RNA", at positions 354 to 796 of the family's 1533-position model. The record is from RNAcentral.
GUAGGGAAUAUUGGUCAAUGGGUGAGAGCCUGAACCAGCCAUGCCGCGUGCAGGAAGACGGCCUUCUGGGUUGUAAACUGCUUUUGUCAGGGGAUAAAAUACCCGUGCGCGGGGAAUUGAAGGUACCUGAUGAAUAAGCCACGGCUAACUACGUGCCAGCAGCCGCGGUAAUACGUAGGUGGCAAGCGUUGUCCGGAUUUAUUGGGUUUAAAGGGUGCGUAGGCGGCUUUGUAAGUCAGUGGUGAAAGACGGCAGCUCAACUGUCGAGGUGCCAUUGAUACUGCAGAGCUAGAGUACUGAUGAGGUAGGCGGAAUGGACGGUGUAGCGGUGAAAUGCUUAGAUAUCGUCCAGAACACCGAUAGCGAAGGCAGCUUACUAAGGAGUAACUGACGCUGAGGCACGAAAGUGUGGGGAUCAAACAGGAUUAGAAACCCGUGUAGUCC